Molecule: ribosomal RNA, 474 nt
Filed under: uncultured bacterium
Lineage: Bacteria
Description: bacterial SSU rRNA
Rfam family: Bacterial small subunit ribosomal RNA
Source: RNAcentral
UGGGGAAUAUUGCGCAAUGGGCGAAAGCCUGACGCAGCGACGCCGCGUGGGUGAUGAAGGCCUUCGGGUCGUAAAGCCCUUUCGAGGGGAAAGAAAAAGCUGAGUUCAAAUAGGGCUCAGCCCUGACGGUACCCCUAGAAGAAGCACCGGCUAACUCCGUGCCAGCAGCCGCGGUAAUACGGAGGGUGCGAGCGUUGUUCGGAAUCACUGGGCGUAAAGCGCGUGUAGGCGGCUCGAUAAGUCUGGUGUGAAAGCCCGGGGCUCACCCCCCGGAAGUGCACUGGAUACUGUUGAGCUCGAGUCCCGGAGAGGAGAGUGGAAUUCCUGGUGUAGCGGUGAAAUGCGUAGAUAUCAGGAGGAACACCGGUGGCGAAGGCGGCUCUCUGGACGGUGACUGACGCUGAGACGCGAAAGCGUGGGGAGCAAACAGGAUUAGAUACCCAGGUAGUCCCUGAGCGGGCUGGCAAGGCGCAU